CCCUAGCCCAGAUAGGAGCGGCAUCCUGUUAUGGCGGGGUUCGCCAUAAAAGAUAUAGCAUAUAGCUGGAACUAGC
This 76-nucleotide small RNA is filed under the name Flavobacterium sp. S87F.05.LMB.W.Kidney.N. RNAcentral's name for it is "Flavo-1 RNA". It matches the Rfam family "Flavo-1 RNA". Lineage: Bacteria; Pseudomonadati; Bacteroidota; Flavobacteriia; Flavobacteriales; Flavobacteriaceae. The record is from RNAcentral.